UACAGAGGGUGCAAGCGUUAAUCGGAAUUACUGGGCGUAAAGCGUGCGUAGUCGGUUAUUUAAGUCGGGCGUGAAAGCCCCGGGCUCAACCUGGGAAUUGCGUUCGAUACUGGAUAGCUAGAGUUCGGCAGAGGGAAGCGGAAUUUCUGGUGUAGCGGUGAAAUGCGUAGAUAUCAGAAGGAGCAUCAGUGGCGAAAGCGGCUUCCUGGACCAGAACUGACGAUCAGGCACGAAAGCGUGGGGAGCAAACAGG
RNAcentral lists this ribosomal RNA (253 nucleotides) under uncultured bacterium. RNAcentral's name for it is "partial 16S ribosomal RNA". It matches the Rfam family "Bacterial small subunit ribosomal RNA", at positions 524 to 776 of the family's 1533-position model. The record is from RNAcentral.